AACGAACGCUGGCGGCAGGCCUAACACAUGCAAGUCGAGCGCACCCUUCGGGGCGAGCGGCGGACGGGUUAGUAACGCGUGGGAAUGUACCCUUUUCUACGGAAUAGCCAUUGGAAACGAUGAGUAAUACCGUAUACGCCCUUUGGGGGGAAGAUUUAUCGGAGAAGGAUCAGCCCGCGUUAGAUUAGAUAGUUGGUGGGGUAAUGGCCUACCAAGUCUACGAUCUAUAGCUGGUCUUAGAGGAUGAUCAGCAACACUGGGACUGAGACACGGCCCAGACUCCUACGGGAGGCAGCAGUGGGGAAUCUUAGACAAUGGGCGCAAGCCUGAUCUAGCCAUGCCGCGUGAGUGAAGAAGGCCUUAGGGUCGUAAAGCUCUUUCGCCAGGGAUGAUAAUGACAGUACCUGGUAAAGAAACCCCGGCUAACUCCGUGCCAGCAGCCGCGGUAAUACGGAGGGGGUUAGCGUUGUUCGGAAUUACUGGGCGUAAAGCGCACGUAGGCGGAUUAGAAAGUAUGGGGUGAAAUCCCAGGGCUCAACCCUGGAACUGCCUCAUAAACUCCUAAUCUAGAGUUCGAGAGAGGUGAGUGGAAUUCCGAGUGUAGAGGUGAAAUUCAUA
This 618-nucleotide ribosomal RNA is filed under the name uncultured Alphaproteobacteria bacterium. RNAcentral's name for it is "bacterial SSU rRNA". It matches the Rfam family "Bacterial small subunit ribosomal RNA", at positions 28 to 692 of the family's 1533-position model. The record is from RNAcentral. Lineage: Bacteria; Pseudomonadati; Pseudomonadota; Alphaproteobacteria.